Molecule: long non-coding RNA, 640 nt
Filed under: Rattus norvegicus (Norway rat)
Lineage: Eukaryota; Metazoa; Chordata; Mammalia; Rodentia; Muridae
Description: long non-coding RNA NONRATT033385
Source: RNAcentral
CCGCACACUGAAGUUCUUUCUCUCUGCAGAUUUUGUAGGUGUGACAGCUCAGCCUACACAGCCCACCUGCUCCAGUCUCUCUUUCUUCUUUGACAACUGGUGUUUGGAACAGCGGUGCUGACUCUGGAGGAGUUAGCAAAGCGUGAGGCAGCCGGAGAAGCCUGGGGUAACCAGUCUGUGCAGAUCAAUUCGGAGCCAGCUGGCCAUACGAUGAGAGCAAGACCACAUGCCCAUCAGAAAGAAGGUCACAAGCGCUGGCAUGGCCACUGCUGGAGCCUCAUUCUUAAUAAGCACAGAAAAUUCUGGAAAUGUGGGUGUUUAAAGAACAAUGUAAAGAAGUGAAAGUCUUCCUAGGAUGCAGAAUUCCCGGUCUUUCAUUAAUUACUGGCACUUUUGGUGGCACACUCAUCUGGGAUGUUUCUGGAAGGCAACUAUGUCUUACAGGACAGCACAGAUGGCUGAGAUAAAGACCAACCUCAAAAGACCAUGAAGCUGGAAUAUAACACUGAAGACGUUCCAGUACAUUCCUGAAACACAAAUUCAUGAGAGACUUCUCUGCUGUGUCACCCGUGCUACCUGUCACCUGUUUUCUUCACUGCCAAAACCGUGUGCUACAGACUGGGCAUCUUACACAGCAGGG